Molecule: ribosomal RNA, 406 nt
Filed under: uncultured bacterium
Lineage: Bacteria
Description: partial 16S ribosomal RNA
Rfam family: Bacterial small subunit ribosomal RNA
Source: RNAcentral
AUUGAACGCUGGCGGCAGGCCUAACACAUGCAAGUCGAACGAGUGGCGGACGGGUGAGUAAUGUAUGGGAAACUGCCUGAUGGAGGGGGAUAACUACUGGAAACGGUAGCUAAUACCGCAUACUAUCAGAUGUGCCCAGAUGGGAUUAGCUAGUUGGUGGGGUAACGGCUCACCUAGGCGACGAUCCCUAGCUGGUCUGAGAGGAUGACCAGCCACACUGGGACGGGGACACGGCCCAGACUCCUACGGGAGGCAGCAGUGGGGAAUAUUGCACAAUGGGCGCAAGCCUGAUGCAGCCAUGCCGCGUGUAUGAAGAAGGCCUUCGGGUUGUAAAGUACUUUCAGCGGGGAGGCGUUACCCGCAGAAGAAGCACCGGCUAACUCCGUGCCAGCAGCCGCGGUAAUAC